AAGAAUUAAAGAGUGCACUUCAUUGUGGGCUCGACAUUUUCUACCAUUCAACCCUAGUGCCACCGUAAUACCUUUUUUUUAUUAGACUCUACAAAGUUAAUGAAUGUAGCACUUUUUUAUAAAGAAAUAA
RNAcentral lists this unclassified non-coding RNA (130 nucleotides) under soil metagenome. Its description in RNAcentral is "partial internal transcribed spacer 1". The record is from RNAcentral.